GCAGGAGGACGACCUCCCCCGUCAUGGGCAUUCAAUCCGGGACGACCCGG
Molecule: non-coding RNA, 50 nt
Filed under: Bordetella genomosp. 1
Lineage: Bacteria; Pseudomonadati; Pseudomonadota; Betaproteobacteria; Burkholderiales; Alcaligenaceae
Also listed under: 1 other name
Description: Bordetella genomosp. Guanidine-II sequence
Rfam family: Guanidine-II riboswitch aptamer (mini-ykkC)
About the family: Simpler in structure and has fewer highly conserved nucleotide positions than the ykkC-yxkD leader. Despite this each of its two stem-loop structures directly bind free guanidine.
Source: RNAcentral